This is a long non-coding RNA of Dreissena polymorpha, 493 nucleotides long. RefSeq lists it as uncharacterized. The transcript is spliced from 3 exons. The record is from RefSeq and is a predicted model, not a curated record. Lineage: Eukaryota; Metazoa; Mollusca; Bivalvia; Myida; Dreissenidae.
UCUUAGGUAUACCAGGCCUAUUUCUAGGUCUCUUAGCUAUACCAGGCCUUCUCAGUGGUCUACGUGGUCUACUUCCAGGUCUCCUUUUCCUAACAGGUCUUUUUCCUUUUAUAGGAGUACUUCCAGAUUUCUUAAGCAUUCCAGGCCUAUUUCCAGGUCUAUUAGCUAUACCAGGCCUAUGUCCAGGUCUCUUAGCUAUACCUGGCCUAUGUCCAGGUCUCUUAGCUAUACCAGGCCUAUGUGCAGGUCUAUUAGCUAUACCAGGCCUAUUUCCAGGUCUCUUAGGUAUACCAGGCCUAUUUCUAGGUCUCUUAGCUAUACCAGGCCUUCUCAGUGGUCUACGUGGUCUACUUCCAGGUCUCCUUUUCCUAACAGGUCUUUUUCCUUUUAUAGGAGUACUUCCAGAUUUCUUAAGCAUUCCAGGCCUAUUUCCAGGUCUAUUAGCUAUACCAGGCCUAUGUCCAGGUCUCUUAGCUAUACCUGGCCUAUGUCC